GAAAGGCGCUUUCGGGUGUCGCUGAUGGAUGGACCCGCGGUGCAUUAGCUAGUUGGUGAGGUAACGGCCCACCAAGGCGACGAUGCAUAGCCGACCUGAGAGGGUGAUCGGCCACAUUGGGACUGAGACACGGCCCAAACUCCUACGGGAGGCAGCAGUAGGGAAUCUUCGGCAAUGGACGAAAGUCUGACCGAGCAACGCCGCGUGAGUGAAGAAGGUUUUCGGAUCGUAAAACUCUGUUGUUAGAGAAGAACAAGGAUGAGAGUAACUGUUCAUCCCUUGACGGUAUCUAACCAGAAAGCCACGGCUAACUACGUGCCAGCAGCCGCGGUAAUACGUAGGCGGCAAGCGUUGUCCGGAUUUAUUGGGCGUAAAGCGAGCGCAGGCGGUUUCUUAAGUCUGAUGUGAAAGCCCCCGGCUCAACCGGGGAGGGUCAUUGGAAACUGGGAGACUUGAGUGCAGAAGAGGAGAGUGGAAUUCCAUGUGUAGCGGUGAAAUGCGUAGAUAUAUGGAGGAACACCAGUGGCGAAGGCGGCUCUCUGGUCUGUAACUGACGCUGAGGCUCGAAAGCGUGGGGAGCAAACAGGAUUAGAUACCCUGGUAGUCCACGCCGU
Molecule: ribosomal RNA, 614 nt
Filed under: uncultured bacterium
Lineage: Bacteria
Description: bacterial SSU rRNA
Rfam family: Bacterial small subunit ribosomal RNA
Source: RNAcentral